This 268-nucleotide ribosomal RNA is filed under the name uncultured bacterium. RNAcentral describes it as "partial 16S ribosomal RNA". It matches the Rfam family "Bacterial small subunit ribosomal RNA", at positions 221 to 507 of the family's 1533-position model. The record is from RNAcentral.
GUAGGGGGGCCUGCGUAACAUUAGCUUGUCGGUGAGGUAAAAGCUCACCAAGGCUUCGAUGCUUAACUGGUUUGAGAGGAUGACCAGUCACACUGGGACUGAGAUACGGCCCAGACUCCUACGGGAGGCAGCAGUAAGGAAUCUUCCACAAUGGGGCAACCCUGAUGGAGCAAUACCGCGUGCAGGAUGAAGCGUUUCGGCGUGUAAACUGCUUUUAUCACCGAAGAUUAUGACUGUAGGUGAAGAAUAAGGACCGGCUAACUACGUG